This 380-nucleotide long non-coding RNA is filed under the name Danio rerio (zebrafish). RNAcentral's name for it is "si:ch211-256m1.9 (ENSDARG00000097379.2)". Lineage: Eukaryota; Metazoa; Chordata; Actinopteri; Cypriniformes; Danionidae. The record is from RNAcentral.
CGGGCUCCAGCAUCAUCUGAUGUUGGAGCCACUAACGUUAGAUAUGCGAAACGAUGCCCACUACGUUGUGUUACUUGGCGUGCAAAAUAAGACUUGUCUUCGCUAUCUGUAGGGACAGACAGCUUCCUCUGAGAAACGCAGGGGUCAAGUGCCUAAUUUAAGUCCAGUAGCGAUAAGAGUCUUCUGCAUGUGCACAAGUUCUCUCCACCUCACUGAUGGUUUUUGGGGUGUUUGCGGACAGAAUGAGGGGUCCACCGUGGUCUCGGAUCACCACGUCAUCCUCAAUUCGCACCCCAAGACCCCUGAAUCGCUCAGGACAGGACCUGUUGUCCUCGCUGAUGUACAGUCCUGGAUUAUGGGAAGAAGAAAUAAGAGUUUAG